Molecule: non-coding RNA, 165 nt
Filed under: Bacteroides salyersiae
Lineage: Bacteria; Pseudomonadati; Bacteroidota; Bacteroidia; Bacteroidales; Bacteroidaceae
Source: RNAcentral
CAGAAAAAUGAUUAAAAGGGAAUCAGGUGAGAAUCCUGAACAGUCCCGUUGCUGUAUGUUUCAUAAAAGCGUGAUGAACACUACCUCAUGCCACUGAGAGGCUUCUAAGCCGAUUGGGAAGGCGUUUAUUCACGGAAACGAGUCAGAAGACCUGCCAUGCAACAU